GAACCCUGACUGCCCUCACACUAUAACAAUAGAACCCUGACUGCCCUAACACUAUAACAAUAGAACCCUGACUGCCCUAACACUAUAACAAUAGAACCCUGACUGCCCUAACACUAUAACAAUAGAACCCUGACUGCCCUAACACUAUAACAAUAGAACCCUGACUGCCCUAACACUAUAACAAUAUAACCCUGACUGCCCUAACACUAUAACAAUAGAACCCUGACUGCCCUAACACUAUAACAAUAGAACCCUGACUGCCCUAACACUAUAACAAUAGAACCCUGACUGCCCUAACACUAUAACAAUAGAACCCUGACUGCCCUAACACUAUAACAAUAUAACCCCGACUGCCCUCACACUAUAACAAUAGAACCCUGACUGCCCUCACACUAUAACAAUAUAACCCUGACUGCCCUAACACUAUAACAAUAUAACCCUGACUGCCCUAACACUAUAACAAUAUAACCCUGACUGCCCUAACACUAUAACAAUAGAACCCUGACUGCCCUAACACUAUAACAAUAGAACCCUGACUGCCCUAACACUAUAACAAUAGAACCCUGACUGCCCUAACACUAUAACAAUAGAACCCUGACUGCCCUCACACUAUAACAAUAUAACCCUGACUGCCCUAACACUAUAACAAUAUAACCCUGACUGCCCUAACACUAUAACAAUAUAACCCUGACUGCCCUCACACUAUAACAAUAUAACCCUGACUGUCCUCACACUAUAACAAUAUAACCCUGACUGCCCUAACACUAUAACAAUAUAACCCUGACUGCCCUAACACUAUAACAAUAGAACCCUGACUGCCCUAACACUAUAACAAUAGAACCCUGACUGCCCUCACACUAUAACAAUAGAACCCUGACUGCCCUAACACUAUAACAAUAUAACCCUGACUGCCCUAACACUAUAACAAUAUAACCCUGACUGCCCUAACACUAUAACAAUAUAA
Molecule: non-coding RNA, 964 nt
Organism: Pelobates cultripes (western spadefoot toad)
Lineage: Eukaryota; Metazoa; Chordata; Amphibia; Anura; Pelobatidae
Source: the annotation of a GenBank genome assembly